AUCUUUAGCUUUAGGUAAAUAAGGUUUUUAUUUGGAUUCAUGCUAAAUUUUUUUGCUUAGUAUUAUUGUUAGGAUGUAAUUUUCACAAUUUUGAGCACUAUAUCUUUUGCCUUGAAUUAUUGUCAUUAUUUAGAGAAGGUUUAUAUUGAUAUAAAAUUUAGAUUAUGUUAUGAAUUCUAGAAUUUGCUUGAUUCUCUCUCGAGAUGAAAUCCUAGGCAAUACUUAGUUAGGGACAUGAUUUAAGUCAUCUUUUGAACUAUUUAAGCCUUUCAAGCUAACCCUGAUAUAUUUUUAUCCCUAGUAUACCCUUUUGAGCUUAAUUUUCCUUUUCUUUGUUUAACCACAUAAUAAUGAGCUUAGCCUUUUAAAAUAAACUUUUAAUUUUGCAACCCUUAUUCCGAAACAUUUAUAUUGUUUUAGGAAAUAUAGAUUGAGCUAGAUAGUGUAAAGGUAGAAAAGGUUGAGAUGUUGAAAAAUUCAAAAUUAUUAGUAUUUGUCCCACUAUUUACCAUAAAAGAAAUAAAUUUGGGAGUGUGAAAUUGUGAUAUCAAAAAAAAAAAGAAAGAAAGAAAAAAAAGAUUAAACAAAACAAAAAGUUCAAAAGUGAAGAAAAAUGGUGUAUGUGGAGAAUGAAAAUAAAGCUCUUUAUAGGUCCUAGAAUAAUUAUGUGUUUCGAGUGAUUUGAGUUACAUUAUAUCCUUUAUCCUACCUUGACCUUAGACAUACAUUACAAGCUUAAUAAAGACCUAUUGAUCCCUAGUUUUGUAUGCGUCUAAUUAGUGGAGAAAUAGUUGAAAAGUAAACUUAUGAAAUUCUAGUAUUAAUUUGAAUUUCGUCUUGGCAUAAACUCAUUUGAAUGUCAUGAUAUACUUGGUAAAAGAUUUCACACACACACAUGAAAAUCCAUUCGAGAAUGUUCUUACAUUAGAAUUUAAGCAUGAAUUUGAAUGAUGCCUAUAUUUUUCCUUAAGAUUGAGAUUGAUAGACAUACUUUUGAGGAAAUUAUGAGAAAUCAUUGACUUGGUGCACUUUAUCUCUAGUAGUUGCUUUAUUUAGUUAUUUCGCUUUUAUUAUUUAAACCAUUUUGCAUAAGUUAGUUUUUUUCUGCGUUUUGCUUGAGGACUAGCAAAAUCUUAAGUUUGGGAGUGUGAUAACUUUAUGAUAUAGAGUUUUUAGACUUGAUUUUGAUAGUAAUUUAACUUAGUUCUUGUAGUCAUGCAUAGAAAUUAAUUUGAUUUUAUUUAAUUAUUUUAAGUUAGUUAAUUAGGUGAGUCAAUCUAAUCUUACUGAAUUUUUUGCUUAAAUUGGUGUUUAUGUGUCUAAGAUAUUUUAUUAUUGAUUAAUUUGAUGAUUUUGUAGGUUUGCAAUUAACAAGGCGAAAAGUUGUUGGGUGUUCACGAGAUGCAAACCUUCACUGCACAUAUUUCUGUAUUUUGAUCAUAACUUUCUCUACAGAACUUCAAAUAAGGUAAUUCUUAAACCAUUGGAAUUCUAAGAGAAGAAUAUACAACUUUCAUGCUUUCUAGUUCACCCAAUUCUGAUCGGAAUAUGGUUGAAAUUUUUGUCAAAAUUGAAGGACUGCAUCAAGAGCGCGAAAGUCAGAACAUAACAUUGAGAAUUGUGACUCUAGAUGUUGAGGACCGUAGUGCUAAAAAUGACCAGGAACAUGGGCACCAACACAGAGAUAUGAGGGCCAUGGCUCUGGGGAAUGAGAGUCGCGACACUCGAAGAAAAUACUGCAAAAUCCUUUUUGGAUUAAACUUAUUCUUGACACAAACUUGUACCCUAUUUAAGCAACCUUUUAUAGGACUUUUAGAGGCAUGAAACACAAGACUUAGAGCUAAGAUUCAGCCACAAAAUCAUUGAAUAAAAGUCUCAUUGGAGCUAAGAAGAAGUUGCAAGAUUCAGGAAGAUUUGGAGAUUAAGAUUUCAACUCUUAAAGUUUCUUUAUUCUUUUUGUUAUUCUUUUUUUUUUCUUAAUUUGGUUUCAACGUUUGAACUUUAUUUAAUGAUGAUGUGUGAUAUUAUGG
RNAcentral lists this long non-coding RNA (2030 nucleotides) under Theobroma cacao (cacao). Its description in RNAcentral is "long non-coding RNA (TCAC_LNC003719)". Lineage: Eukaryota; Viridiplantae; Streptophyta; Magnoliopsida; Malvales; Malvaceae. The record is from RNAcentral.